AUUGAACGCUGGCGGCAGGCUUAACACAUGCAAGUCGAACGAGCGGCGGACGGGUGGGUAAUGUCUGGGCAACUGCCUAAUGGAGGGGGAUAACUACUGGAAACGGUAGCUAAUACCGCAUACCCUCAGUUGUGCCCAGAUGGGAUUAGCGAGUGGGUGGGGUAAUGGCUCACCUAGGCGACGAUCCCUAGCUGGUCUGAGAGGCUGACCAGCCACACUGGAACUGAGAAACGGUCCAGACUCCUACGGGAGGCAGCAGUGGGGAAUAUUGCACAAUGGGCGCAAGCCUGAUGCAGCCAUGCCGCGUGUGUGAAGAAGGCCUUCGGGUCGUAAAGCACUGUCAGCGAGGAGGCGUUACCCGCAGAAGAAGCACCGGCUAACUCCGUGCCAGCAGCCGCGGUAAUAC
Molecule: ribosomal RNA, 406 nt
Filed under: uncultured bacterium
Lineage: Bacteria
Description: partial 16S ribosomal RNA
Rfam family: Bacterial small subunit ribosomal RNA
Source: RNAcentral